RNAcentral lists this ribosomal RNA (539 nucleotides) under uncultured bacterium. RNAcentral's name for it is "bacterial SSU rRNA". It matches the Rfam family "Bacterial small subunit ribosomal RNA", at positions 777 to 1319 of the family's 1533-position model. The record is from RNAcentral.
AAUAGAUACCCCGGUAGUCCACGCUGUAAACGAUGAGGACUAAAUGUUGGUAGGGAACCUAUCGGUAUUGAAGCUAACGCGAUAAGUCUUCCGCCUGGGAAGUACGGCCGCAAGGUUGAAACUCAAAUGAAUUGACGGGGGCCCGCACAAGCGGUGGAGCAUGUGGUUUAAUUCGAUGCAACGCGAAGAACCUUACCUACCCUUGACAUCCUGCGAAUCCCGAUGAAAGUUGGGAGUGCCGCAAGGAGCGCAGAGACAGGUGCUGCAUGGCUGUCGUCAGCUCGUGUUGUGAGAUGUUGGGUUAAGUCCCGUAACGAGCGCAACCCUUGUCCUUAGUUGCCAGCAUUAAGUUGGGGACUCUAAGGAGACUGCCGGUGAGGAACCGGAGGAAGGCGGGGACGACGUCAAGUCAUCAUGGCCUUUAUGGGUAGGGCUACACACGUGCUACAAUGGGGCGUACAGAGGGUCGCGAACCCGCGAGGGGGAGCCAAUCUCAUAAAGCGUCUCGUAGUCCGGAUUGGAGUCUGCAACUCGACUCC